Molecule: ribosomal RNA, 462 nt
Filed under: uncultured Actinomycetes bacterium
Lineage: Bacteria; Bacillati; Actinomycetota; Actinomycetes
Description: bacterial SSU rRNA
Rfam family: Bacterial small subunit ribosomal RNA
Source: RNAcentral
GACGAACGCUGGCGGCGUGCUUAACACAUGCAAGUCGAGCGAUGAGAUCCCUUCGGGGAAGGAUUAGCGGCGAACGGGUGAGGAACACGUGAAGAAUCUGCCUUCAACUCUGGGAUAACACCGGGAAACCGGUGCUAAUACCGGAUAUGAGCCUUGAUCGCAUGAUCGGGGCUGGAAAGUUUUUCGGUUGAAGAUGACUUCGCGGCCUAUCAGCUUGUUGGUGAGGUAACGGCUCACCAAGGCGACGACGGGUAGCCGGCCUGAGAGGGCGACCGGCCACACUGGGACUGAGACACGGCCCAGACUCCUACGGGAGGCAGCAGUGGGGAAUAUUGGGCAAUGGACGAAAGUCUGACCCAGCGACGCCGCGUGCGGGAUGAAGGCCUUCGGGUUGUAAACCGCUUUCAGCGGGGAAGAAGCGAAAGUGACGGUACCUGCAGAAGAAGCACCGGCUAACUAUGU